RNAcentral lists this ribosomal RNA (402 nucleotides) under uncultured Sphingomonas sp. RNAcentral describes it as "bacterial SSU rRNA". It matches the Rfam family "Bacterial small subunit ribosomal RNA", at positions 355 to 774 of the family's 1533-position model. The record is from RNAcentral. Lineage: Bacteria; Pseudomonadati; Pseudomonadota; Alphaproteobacteria; Sphingomonadales; Sphingomonadaceae.
UGGGGAAUAUUGGACAAUGGGGGCAACCCUGAUCCAGCAAUGCCGCGUGAGUGAUGAAGGCCUUAGGGUUGUAAAGCUCUUUUACCCGGGAAGAUAAUGACUGUACCGGGAGAAUAAGCCCCGGCUAACUCCGUGCCAGCAGCCGCGGUAAUACGGAGGGGGCUAGCGUUGUUCGGAAUUACUGGGCGUAAAGCGCACGUAGGCGGCUUUGUAAGUUAGAGGUGAAAGCCCGGGGCUCAACCCCGGAACAGCCUUUAAGACUGCAUCGCUUGAACGUCGGAGAGGUGAGUGGAAUUCCGAGUGUAGAGGUGAAAUUCGUAGAUAUUCGGAAGAACACCAGUGGCGAAGGCGGCUCACUGGACGACUGUUGACGCUGAGGUGCGAAAGCGUGGGGAGCAAACA